Molecule: ribosomal RNA, 405 nt
Filed under: uncultured prokaryote
Also listed under: 1 other name
Description: bacterial SSU rRNA
Rfam family: Bacterial small subunit ribosomal RNA
Source: RNAcentral
UCGGGAAUUUUGCCCAAUGGACGAAAGUCUGAGGCAGCAACUCCGCGUGAGGGAUGAAGGCUCUCGGGUCGUAAACCUCUUUUCUCAGGGAAGAUCCAAGACGGUACCUGAGGAAUAAGCCACGGCUAACUACGUGCCAGCAGCCGCGGUAAUACGUAGGUGGCAAGCGUUGUCCGGAUUUACUGGGCGUAAAGAGCGCGCAGGCGGCUGGUCAAGUCCGAUGUGAAAUCUCCCGGCUCAACUGGGAAACUGCAUCGGAAACUGAUCAGCUUGAAGGUGGGAGAGGGUAGUGGAAUUCCCGGUGUAGUGGUGAAAUGCGUAGAUAUCGGGAGGAACACCAGUGGCGAAGGCGACUACCUGGCCCACUCUUGACGCUGAGGCGCGAAAGCUAGGGGAGCGAACGGG